RNAcentral lists this ribosomal RNA (486 nucleotides) under uncultured bacterium. Its description in RNAcentral is "partial 16S ribosomal RNA". It matches the Rfam family "Bacterial small subunit ribosomal RNA", at positions 30 to 507 of the family's 1533-position model. The record is from RNAcentral.
AUUGAACGCUGGCGGCAUGCCUUACACAUGCAAGUCGAACGGCAGCACGGGUGCUUGCCCCUGGUGGCGAGUGGCGAACGGGUGAGUAAUACAUCGGAACAUGUCCUGUAGCGGGGGAUAGCCCGGCGAAAGCCGGAUUAAUACCGCAUACGAUCUACGGAUGAAAGCGGGGGACCUUCGGGCCUCGCGCUAUAGGGUUGGCCGAUGGCUGAUUAGCUAGUUGGUGGGGUAAAGGCCUACCAAGGCGACGAUCAGUAGCUGGUCUGAGAGGACGACCAGCCACACUGGGACUGAGACACGGCCCAGACUCCUACGGGAGGCAGCAGUGGGGAAUUUUGGACAAUGGGCGAAAGCCUGAUCCAACAAUGCCGCGUGUGUGAAGAAGGCCUUCGGGUUGUAAAGCACUUUUGUCCGGAAAGAAAUCCUUGGCCCUAAUACGGUCGGGGGAUGACGGUACCGGAAGAAUAAGCACCGGCUAACUACGUG